This is a long non-coding RNA of Lates calcarifer (barramundi perch), 1305 nucleotides long. RefSeq lists it as uncharacterized. The record is from RefSeq and is a predicted model, not a curated record. The transcript has 3 exons. Lineage: Eukaryota; Metazoa; Chordata; Actinopteri; Centropomidae.
UGCUGAGCGCAGAGCAUGACAUGAGAGCUAAUCUUAUUAGCCAGACAAAGAGGAGAGGAGAGGAUGGUGGGAGAGUGAAAGCUCAGAUGGUUUUUUUCCCAGCAUGCCACACAGGUCCUGAACUUCAUGUGAACCAGAGUCAGCGUCCUGUAAACCUCAGUCUGCACGUUCCACCUCUGAAGAGCUGAAGAGCUUCAUUACAAAACACUGCUGCUCCAGACCGGACGGAGCAACAAUGACUGAGCUAGUGAAGAGUUCUGCAGGACUCUGACUCUGUGAUGGCGUCAGUAAUACUGAUGAACGGGACAGAAACACAGAGAAGGAACUGGAUCGUAACCAGGUCAUUUACGGACAUGCACGGUUCUAAUACUGGUACAUCUGGAACCAAUCAGAGAGCAGGAAAUACUGAAGACGAUGAUGAAAUGAAAGACAGAAUGACAGAAACAGCAGCGUCUCUACAGCCCUCUACAGCCACCCAGCUAAGCCCCGCAGACGUGUGGUCGGCCGGUCGAGCUCCGGGUGAGUUCAGCUGGUUCUUACCCUGAUACCAGCGAAGCGGGACGCGGCCCGGAGAGGACGCAGAGCCCUGAGCGUCCUCAGCACCCGCAUGGUGGUGAUCUGGUCCACAGAGACGAACUGAGCCAGCAGACCCACCACUGAGAUCUACAGGGCGGUGGUCACACAGUUACUGUUCAACUCUCAUCUACGGAGGGGCGGUUAGGACAUUUUUCACAUCACAUGACUCCACUCUGACAUUUCCAUGAACGUCUCCUCUACAUCAACAAACACUGUUCUGUCUCUGUUUACUCUCAUUCACUUCUACUUCAUCAGUGUUUUAUUCAGCGUUAAGCUUCUGCCACUGAAACACAACACUUCCACCUUAAAUUUCAAAAUAAAAGCCUGUUAGGAGAGGCAAUGUACUGUGCCUUUUAAUGUGAAACAUCUAUUUAAGAAUGAGUUUCAUUCACUGUGGCGUGGAAGUGAAGAAAAACACAGAGAAGUAGAAGCAAACAAUGAUUAAAAUAACAAGACGUUCCUCUGUCUGUGACUGAAUCAGAACGUUUUAAAGCUGCAGGUAAAGAUGAAGGUAAAAUUCUGUAAAAUCCCUGUUUUUGUCAGUGGAGUCAAAAGAAAAAGAGUCUCAUCUGUCCCAUGAUAAACGAGCUGUAAUCAUUAUCUUCAUCACUGAACGUCACCUUCAUCAUCAUCACUGCUAAAUAACAACAUUAAAAAGAACUUCACCUUCUCUGUUAUCACUGUCAUCAUCCAACAACAAAUCAUCAGGUCAAUAAACCAAUAAACCGA